This 500-nucleotide ribosomal RNA is filed under the name uncultured bacterium. Its description in RNAcentral is "partial 16S ribosomal RNA". It matches the Rfam family "Bacterial small subunit ribosomal RNA", at positions 30 to 523 of the family's 1533-position model. The record is from RNAcentral.
AUUGAACGCUGGCGGCAGGCCUAACACAUGCAAGUCGAGCGGUAGAGAGGAGCUUGCUUCUCUUGAGAGCGGCGGACGGGUGAGUAAUGCCUAGGAAUCUGCCUGAUAGUGGGGGAUAACGUCCGGAAACGGACGCUAAUACCGCAUACGUCCUACGGGAGAAAGUGGGGGCUCUUCGGACCUCACGCUAUCAGAUGAGCCUAGGUCGGAUUAGCUAGUUGGUGGGGUAAAGGCUCACCAAGGCGACGAUCCGUAACUGGUCUGCGAGGAUGAUCAGUCACACUGGAACUGAGACACGGUCCAGACUCCGACGGGAGGCAGCAGUGGGGAAUAUUGGACAAUGGGCGAAAGCCUGAUCCAGCCAUGCCGCGUGUGUGAAGAAGGUCUUCGGAUUGUAAAGCACUUUAAGUUGGGAGGAAGGGUCGUUACCUAAUACGUGACGAUUUUGACGUUACCGACAGAAUAAGCACCGGCUAACUCUGUGCCAGCCGCCGCCGUAA